GAGGAUGUGACUCCAUGGUAGAGUGCUUGUCUAGAAUGUAAGAGGCCCUGGGUUCGAUCCCCAGUAUUGAAA
This 72-nucleotide transfer RNA is filed under the name Marmota monax (woodchuck). RNAcentral's name for it is "tRNA.Ser". The stretch from base 5 to 67 matches the Rfam family "tRNA", at positions 5 to 66 of the family's 71-position model. Rfam says of the family: Transfer RNA (tRNA) molecules are approximately 80 nucleotides in length. Their secondary structure includes four short double-helical elements and three loops (D, anti-codon, and T loops). The record is from RNAcentral. Lineage: Eukaryota; Metazoa; Chordata; Mammalia; Rodentia; Sciuridae.